This 402-nucleotide ribosomal RNA is filed under the name uncultured bacterium. RNAcentral's name for it is "bacterial SSU rRNA". It matches the Rfam family "Bacterial small subunit ribosomal RNA", at positions 355 to 774 of the family's 1533-position model. The record is from RNAcentral.
UCGGGAAUUUUGGGCAAUGGGCGAAAGCCUGACCCAGCAACGCCGCGUGAGGGAUGAAGUAUUUCGGUAUGUAAACCCCGAAAGAAUGGGGAGAAUAAAUGACGGUACCAUUUAUAAGCUCCGGCUAACUACGUGCCAGCAGCCGCGGUAAUACGUAGGGAGCAAGCGUUGUUCGGAUUUACUGGGCGUAAAGGGCGCGUAGGCGGCGCGGUAAGUCACUUGUGAAAUCUCUGAGCUUAACUCAGAACGGCCAAGUGAUACUGCUGUGCUAGAGUGCGGAAGAGGCAACCGGAAUUCUUGGUGUAGCGGUGAAAUGCGUAGAUAUCAAGAGGAACACCUGAGGCGAAGGCGGGUUGCUGGGCCGACACUGACGCUGAUGCGCGAAAGCCAGGGGAGCAAACG